RNAcentral lists this ribosomal RNA (254 nucleotides) under uncultured bacterium. RNAcentral's name for it is "partial 16S ribosomal RNA". It matches the Rfam family "Bacterial small subunit ribosomal RNA", at positions 524 to 776 of the family's 1533-position model. The record is from RNAcentral.
UACGUAGGGGGCAAGCGUUACCCGGAUUUACUGGGCGUAAAGCGCGUGUAGGCGGCUGGCCAAGUGUGGUGUGAAAUCCCCCGGCUCAACCGGGGAACUGCAUUGCAAACUGGUCUGGCUAGAGUGCAGGAGAGGGAAGUGGAAUUCCCGGUGUAGCGGUGAAAUGCGUAGAGAUGCGGAGGAACACCGAUGGCGAAGGCAGCCCCCUGGGCUGACACUGACGCUCAGGCACGAAAGCGUGGGGAGCAAACGGG